AUGCACAGAGCAAAUUACAUAAGUGUUUGGAGUUCAUCUCAACAUUACAAAACACUUGGGUUAUUGGUUUUUUGGGUGAAUGAAUGCAACAGAGGAAAGUAGAAUGGAGAGCUAACUGGCGCCAUAGGACAACAUAACAGGUAUUCUGCUGACUGGAGCUCAGAGAAAAAGGUGCCAGGAAAUUCUAAAUUUUGGAAAACUUUUGGAAAUAUUUGAGAUGGGACGGAAUCACUGAAUAAAUGAUUGGAGUACAAAAGCAUGACCUCAGAAUGCUAGAACAUUUGAAUAUCACCAGGGUAAAUAUUAAACAUAAGUUGGCAACAAUGAUGAUAUUAGUGAUGAUAAUACCCCAAAAGAAAAACAAACAAACAACAACAACAAAAAGAUUGGUUUGGAAUCUUGCAAGAAUGUAUUCUGUAGCUUUUCUUUUUCAUCAAAGCUGGAAAUACUUUGCAGGGAUCCAGUCUCCUGUACCUGGAUCUUAUUGCUUCUUCUUGAAGAUUUUCCUCCAUUAGUUUCUUAUUUUUAUCAAAGGUUUUUCUCACUGCCAAUUUCCUUUUCUUUUUAUUCUUUUUACCCUCCCUAUUCAAGUUCCAGAUUACCAAAUGCUGACACAUUAGCAGCUAUUCUUAAAAAUCCACAUUCAGGGCAUCAACCACUGAAAGAAAGUAUUGGGGCAGAUGGGGUGGUCACACAUAGCAAGGUGCUCAAGUCCAGAGAACAGCUGGCAAUGCAUUUGGUGAAAUCUUAUCAGUUCAGUUGAGAUCAGGUUCAAAACAUGAGUUGUUUUAGACCCUGAAUGUUUAUUACUUCUCAGCUCUUCAGCAUACACAGACUUCUUAGCUCAUUUAACUUCUUCUGUCAGGACCUCCUUUCCCAUUCCCAUGGACUAUCUGUGGGUUCAUUCCAUCUUUGCAUGGAAUACUUUCAGUAUUUCUCUUAGAAUUUUUUUUUUCAUUCCAAAACCUUUAGCACAUAAUGAAAUUUUUUAAAAAAUUGACCAUUAAGAAAGUACAAGAAAACAUGUCAGACAUUGCUAUCAGAUACCUGGCAAACAUAUUCAUACAUAUAGGCAAGCUCUAUUGUUGCCCUUGUCAAACUGGCUUAUAAUUAUUCAUCUGUGUAUGAUUCUUUCUUAUACAUCCCAAUCCCAAUGCCAUAAGAUACUUGAGAGUAAGGAAUGGGUCUUACUUGAUCUAUAUGUUUAACCUCGGAUUAGAAAUCAAGACAUACUUUAAGCUAGCAAAGAAUGAAACCAGACACUGACUGGGGGUUUUGGAUUAUGAAAUCUGGAAUUCUGUUCUCAGAUAACAGUUGUCUGUUUAUGAGCCUUUUGCCUGGAAAGGAAGAUGCAGAUAGCAGAGAACACCAAUGCCCUCAUAAUUUGGCCAGGUGGUGGCUUGGGAGAGUAUCUUUCACUAUACAUGAUGAUAAAAAUGGAUAUUUUGGGGUGGAGUAUUAUCCAUAUCAAGGAUUAUAUUUUGAUUUACUGAUCCCUGGUAAUUUUCUUUUCCUUCCAACCAUUUAUUUUGUCACUUGAAAGCAAG
RNAcentral lists this long non-coding RNA (1547 nucleotides) under Marmota monax (woodchuck). Lineage: Eukaryota; Metazoa; Chordata; Mammalia; Rodentia; Sciuridae. The record is from RNAcentral.